GCGGACGUAGCUCAGUUGGUAGAGCAUCAGCUUCCCAAGCUGAGGGUCGCGGGUUCGAUCCCCGUCGUCCGCUCCU
RNAcentral lists this transfer RNA (76 nucleotides) under Actinomycetes bacterium. Its description in RNAcentral is "Actinobacteria bacterium tRNA-Gly". It matches the Rfam family "tRNA". From Rfam's summary of the family: Transfer RNA (tRNA) molecules are approximately 80 nucleotides in length. Their secondary structure includes four short double-helical elements and three loops (D, anti-codon, and T loops). Further hydrogen bonds mediate the characteristic L-shaped molecular structure. tRNAs have two regions of fundamental functional importance: the anti-codon, which is responsible for specific mRNA codon recognition, and the 3' end, to which the tRNAs corresponding amino acid is attached (by aminoacyl-tRNA synthetases). tRNAs cope with the degeneracy of the genetic code in two manners: having more than one tRNA (with a specific anti-codon) for a particular amino acid; and 'wobble' base-pairing, i.e. permitting non-standard base-pairing at the 3rd anti-codon position. Lineage: Bacteria; Bacillati; Actinomycetota; Actinomycetes. The record is from RNAcentral.